UACAGAGGGUGCGAGCGUUAAUCGGAAUUACUGGGCGUAAAGCGUGCGUAGACGGUUAUUUAAGUCGGGUGUGAAAGCCCCGGGCUCAACCUGGGAAUUGCAUUCGAUACUGGAUCGCUAGAGUUCGGCAGAGGGAAGCGGAAUUUCGGGUGUAGCGGUGAAAUGCGUAGAUAUCCGAAGGAACAUCAGUGGCGAAAGCGGCUUCCUGGACCAGAACUGACGAUCAGGCACGAAAGCGUGGGGAGCAAACAGG
This 253-nucleotide ribosomal RNA is filed under the name uncultured bacterium. RNAcentral's name for it is "partial 16S ribosomal RNA". It matches the Rfam family "Bacterial small subunit ribosomal RNA", at positions 524 to 776 of the family's 1533-position model. The record is from RNAcentral.